Long non-coding RNA from Mobula hypostoma (lesser devil ray), 682 nucleotides. RefSeq lists it as uncharacterized. Lineage: Eukaryota; Metazoa; Chordata; Chondrichthyes; Myliobatiformes; Myliobatidae. The record is from RefSeq and is a predicted model, not a curated record. The transcript is spliced from 4 exons.
GCUGCUUCUCCUUAGAACUCGCUGCAGGAUUAUUUUGGCCAAAUUAAAUCGCGGGAGACAAACUCACUCACCGUAGAUCAACAGGCGAGGACAAGGUUUUCUCCCACCCCCUUGCGAGACUUCACAUCCAACAUUAGUUGUGGCCUCGUAGCCAAGACCAGAAUUAAUUGCCCCUUCAUAGAUGCCCUCCCUCUUACACUCCCUGCAGUCCUUCUGAUGGUGAUCCUAGAGAGUAAGCCACCAAGGAGGGAGGAAAAGAGAAUCUGAACUCUGAGAGACAGAUGAAAGCAAAAUAAAAUACUGUCUGUCCUUUGUGUCGCCAUUAUGGGUACGGAUCAGCAUCUAUGAAUUAUCAAGGUCCAUCUCGACCCUGACUGCUAUUGAUAGCUCAGUCCUAGAUUGAUGAAAGAAGGAAACAGAAAGAGAGCAAGCAAGAAAGAAGGAAAAUAAAUGAAAGUGAGAGAGAGAAAAAUAAAGACAGACGCAAUGGAUGGAAGAAAAAAGGAAGAGCAUUUUUUAAAAAUCAAAAUACAUUAACCUGAUGAAAAUUAAUCGGAUACAAAUUUAAAGGAACAUGCAGGAAAAUGCUAUGUUUCGAAUGAACGUUGACAAGCUCAUUCAAAUGAAACAUGUUCCCAGCUCUGUUACCAUCCGUCACUUGGAAUGGUCCAAUGGCUAAGCA